GGGGAUUUAGCUCAGCAGCAUAAGCACUUGCCUUACAAGCAUGUGACUGAGAGUUCAAUCCCCG
This 64-nucleotide transfer RNA is filed under the name Cavia porcellus (domestic guinea pig). It matches the Rfam family "tRNA". From Rfam's summary of the family: Transfer RNA (tRNA) molecules are approximately 80 nucleotides in length. Their secondary structure includes four short double-helical elements and three loops (D, anti-codon, and T loops). Further hydrogen bonds mediate the characteristic L-shaped molecular structure. tRNAs have two regions of fundamental functional importance: the anti-codon, which is responsible for specific mRNA codon recognition, and the 3' end, to which the tRNAs corresponding amino acid is attached (by aminoacyl-tRNA synthetases). tRNAs cope with the degeneracy of the genetic code in two manners: having more than one tRNA (with a specific anti-codon) for a particular amino acid; and 'wobble' base-pairing, i.e. permitting non-standard base-pairing at the 3rd anti-codon position. Lineage: Eukaryota; Metazoa; Chordata; Mammalia; Rodentia; Caviidae. The record is from Rfam by way of RNAcentral.